Molecule: non-coding RNA, 113 nt
Organism: Acanthosepion pharaonis
Lineage: Eukaryota; Metazoa; Mollusca; Cephalopoda; Sepiida; Sepiidae
Source: the annotation of a GenBank genome assembly
UACAGCCAUAUCAUGUUGAGACAUCAGUUCCCAUACGAUCACUGAAGUUAAGCAAUAUCGAGCCUUGUCAGUACCAAGAUAGGUGACUGCUUGGGAAAACAAGGUGCUGUAAU